UUGCCAAUAGGACUAAACAUUCGUACAGGUCUUAAACGCAUCUCAAGAAAUGUAUCAAAAGUCACUUGCAGCAGGAGCAUGCAGAAACAGGAGCCAGGUCAAGAAACAAGUCUUGUAAUCGGAGAUAACAGCAUUUUCCGAAAUCUUGGGAAACAUCAUAGAAGAUAAUGAUCAGCAAAACAAAGGAAGGAUGAGGGAAGGAAAGGAACUUGAUGCAGUGACCCUAAGAUCUCCAAGUGAGAACCAAGGAGAACCAUCAAAGCAGUCUAAGCAGGCAGGAAAAACUGGCAAAGAUCAGGAUGUGAAUAGACCAGCUAUUGAACCUACAUCUCAUCGACGGCUUUGGAGUAAGGCCGAAAAGGCAGCAGUAUGGCAACAGCUUUGCCAAUAUGUAACCUUAGAGAGUUCCUGGUAAAGAACCAUGUCUUGAAGCACUUAAAGUUGAGCCUGCACUGAGAAGCCAAACUUGGAAAGA
This is a long non-coding RNA of Fundulus heteroclitus (mummichog), 475 nucleotides long. RefSeq lists it as uncharacterized. The record is from RefSeq and is a predicted model, not a curated record. NCBI's taxonomy places the organism in Eukaryota, Metazoa, Chordata, Actinopteri, Cyprinodontiformes, Fundulidae. The transcript has 4 exons.